GCCCUGAUAGCUCAGUUGGUAGAGCAAAGGACUGAAAAUCCUUGUGUCGGUGGUUCGAGUCCGCCUCGGGGCACCA
This 76-nucleotide transfer RNA is filed under the name Halobacteriovorax sp. RNAcentral describes it as "tRNA-Phe". It matches the Rfam family "tRNA". From Rfam's summary of the family: Transfer RNA (tRNA) molecules are approximately 80 nucleotides in length. Lineage: Bacteria; Pseudomonadati; Bdellovibrionota; Bacteriovoracia; Bacteriovoracales; Halobacteriovoraceae. The record is from RNAcentral. RNAcentral also lists the same sequence under 4 other names.